This is a long non-coding RNA of Eurytemora carolleeae, 1363 nucleotides long. RefSeq lists it as uncharacterized. The transcript has 4 exons. The record is from RefSeq and is a predicted model, not a curated record. Lineage: Eukaryota; Metazoa; Arthropoda; Copepoda; Calanoida; Temoridae.
UUUAAAAUUUCCAGGAUAAAGUAAAUUUAACCGUAUCUAACCAUAUAUAUAUGAAGCUCUUUGAAAAGCUUGUGACUAUGCACAAGUUUUGCUGGGUAAAAAACUUUUCAGAAAUGUACGAUUUGUUAAUAUUGCACAAUUUUAGUUUUUGCUAAACUUUGUCUUAACAACUGGAUUUUUGCAAAACAAUUUUUUAAAGAUUAUGAAAAAAACUCAAGGGCUUGACAAGAUAUAGAAACUGUUAUAGAGUGUCGUGUUUGAGAUAUCAAUCCUAGUUAUUAUAUCAUUAAAGUUUUGUUAAAUUUUAUGGGGAUCCCGCAAACAACCCUCUAGCAAACUAGUUUAAUAUUUAGUAUACUAUACAAGCAACUCUUUAAAAUGGAGGAUAUUACGCUGAUAGUCCCUUUAAAACUGGUUUACACUUGAACUUGAACUAGGCUUUUACACUUUUCCCCCCAGUCCCCGUAUUACAUAAUACUGCCACACUGUGGACUAACCAGGGCAAUUUGUGCUUGUUUUCUUCAAUUUCAAUUCAAUUACGUUUCGGUCUUAAAGCAGUCAAUUCAACUUGCGAGUUCUCCUUUUUAUUCUUUUUCAUUUACAGCGCAUCCACCGACAUCAAAGUAUGAUAGAGAAUAAGCAACAGAUUUCUGGUAAAUAGGUCAAAUAGGGAUAGAAAGUCACAGCUUGCUGAGACCAGUGCAGAACUGUCAAAUCAGGGUUGUUUGACAGCUAAAAUGGAUAACAAAAUGGAAAGUCGCAGUCGCCGACAUGAAUUAGUUAUUCGUCAAUAUAUGAUGCCUACUUGGUGUGCAUUCUGUAAACAGAUGCUUCUUGGGCUGAUUAGGCAGGGAAUGCAUUGCAAAGUCUGUAAACUGGACUUUCAUGACACCUGCGCAACCAAGACUAAAUCUGAAUGCAAUCCAGUACACUGAUAGAUUUUUCAAACAGAUGUUACAUAUGAAAAUAUUUCUGCAGUUUUCAAAAAAUAAAUUCAAAGAAAUAGCUUUCAGUACAGGUUGUCCCACGAAACUAGACAGGAGACCGACGACAUUUGAAAGUCUUCUUUGAGACUUUAAAUUAUUUGAGGUAUUAAACUGUCAACCUACUUUUACAUGUAUGAUUCUUGAAAUAAUAAUCAACACAUUCUCCUUGGUACACCCUGUAAAUGGAAAAUGUUAUCAAUGGUAAAACAAUGCUGGUCUUAACGUACAAAUUAUGAUGAAUGUUUAUUGUCCAUACAAGUGAUACGUACAGCUAGUUCGUCACUCAUCCGUGCCGUAGGUUAAUUUUAUGCUUACUGAAUAUGAAAAAUGUUUACUAAGAUGCUAAUCUAAAUAUAUGCUUGUCUAUGUUUGUUUGA